Molecule: ribosomal RNA, 467 nt
Filed under: uncultured bacterium
Lineage: Bacteria
Description: partial 16S ribosomal RNA
Rfam family: Bacterial small subunit ribosomal RNA
Source: RNAcentral
GACGAACGCUGGCGGCGUGCUUAACACAUGCAAGUCGAACGGAAAGGCCCUGCUUUUGUGGGGUGCUCGAGUGGCGAACGGGUGAGUAACACGUGAGUAACCUGCCCUUGACUUUGGGAUAACUUCAGGAAACUGGGGCUAAUACCGGAUAGGAGCUCCUGCUGCAUGGUGGGGGUUGGAAAGUUUCGGCGGUUGGGGAUGGACUCGCGGCUUAUCAGCUUGUUGGUGGGGUAGUGGCUUACCAAGGCUUUGACGGGUAACCGGCCUGAGAGGGUGACCGGCCACAUUGGGACUGAGAUACGGCCCAGACUCCUACGGGAGGCAGCAGUGGGGAAUAUUGCACAAUGGGCGGAAGCCUGAGGCAGCAACGCCGCGUGCGGGAUGACGGCCUUCGGGUUGUAAACCGCUUUCGCCUGUGACGAGGCGUGAGUGACGGUAAUGGGUAAAGAAGCACCGGCUAACUACGU